GAUGAACGCUGGCGGCGUGCCUAAUACAUGCAAGUCGAACGAACAGACGCUGAGUUUGCUGCUCGGACGAUUGCCGCACAGGGGUGUAUAACAUGUGGAACAUCCCCCUAAAAGACGGGGAAAUCUUCGGGAAAGGGGAGCAAAUCCGGGAUAAUAUAUUGAAGCGCAUGGUUGAUUAGUAAAGGUCGGUUUUGCUGUCAGUUAUAGAUGGAUCCGCGCCGCUUUAUGUAGUUGGUACGGUACAGGAUUACCAAGGCGACGAUGCGUAGCCGACCUGAGAGGGUGGUCGGCCCCACUGGAACGGGGCCACGGUCCAGACUCCUACGGGAGGCAGCAGAAGGGAAGCGACUGCAAUGGGCGAAAGCCUGACGGAACAGCGCCGCGUGGGUUAUGAAAGUCUUGGGAUCGUAAUACUCUGUUAUUAGGUAAGAACAAAUGUGUAAGUAGCUAUGCACGUCUUGACGGUACCUAAUCAGAAAGCCACGGCUAACUACGUG
RNAcentral lists this ribosomal RNA (497 nucleotides) under uncultured bacterium. RNAcentral's name for it is "partial 16S ribosomal RNA". It matches the Rfam family "Bacterial small subunit ribosomal RNA", at positions 28 to 507 of the family's 1533-position model. The record is from RNAcentral.